UUGUAUGGUAGCUUUUUAAUAUUUUUUAAGGAACCUCUAUAAAUUAAUUAGAUAUGUAACUAGUUUGUUUUGCUUAUACUUAAUAAAACUUUUCUAUACCUGGCAUCACAAAUCAGAAAAGUUCUUUGUCAGUGUAGAAAACAUAACCUCCAGAGCUUCAUGUCACUUUGGGCACAAGAAUAGACAAGGCAUAGGUAAGCAGAACCACCAGCCAGAUAAGCUAAUGAUUAUUUCAGCUGCUACAAGGGCUAGGCAUGGAAAAGAAGGUUGGAAAAGUAGCACUCUCUAGGAAUUUUAAUUAACAUACAAAGAUCUGACAUUAGCACAAAUCUGGAAAUAAACUUAAGGAAAAGCGUCUCCUGUCUGCUACACUUCUUGAAAUUCCCUCCUCUUAGGAGGGUCAGGCUUAAGGCUACAUCUUCUGACCUGCUGAACAACAACGCAACAAAAACCCAGAUCCACUGAUAUUUCCACAUUGCUUAACAUUUAUUUUUUAGAGUUGUUGGAAGUUAGCAAAUAUUUGGCAAGGUUUCUGGACAAAAUGGCACCAGAUACUCUCUUGCCCCUUCUUGAAUAUUUGCUGAUAGAAGGGGAAGGAAAUUGCAGGACAUUUUUCUAAGUACUGAACUUGGACAUUGCCUGAUUUAAGUGGGAUGUGACAAAUGAAAUCCUUAAGAUCCUCUAAUAAAAUAUCUUCUUUAUUCCAUACUCUUUACAUUACUCUAGAACCUCCAAGAGCCCUUGACAUGUUAAACAUAGCAAUAGGUUUUUGUUGCCACAAAAGGCAAUAUAAUUCUAAUCACAGUAGCAGGUGCCGGAUUCCCCAUGUUGAGUCAGAGAGGUCAAGAUUGUAGGACAAGGUCUGUGAACCUGAUUCUAGAUUCAGGCAGAUCUGAGUUCAAAUUCUAAUGUCAUCUAAACUUUAAAAAUGACCUUUCAUGAGCAUUCUGAGUCUCUUGUGUGCAUUCUCUCAUUUAAUUGAGACAACCAUCUCAUGAGACAUGUAAAUGACUUGCCUGUGGACAUGCUGAUUAAUGGGGCAGCCAGGAUUUAAACUCUGACUCCAGAUCCUGCACCCUUAACCACUGUCCUCUAUGGUCUUACACAUGAAAUGUAAUAUAACUUGGUUUCAGUUAUACUUCCCCCCCUCCACCUUUAGAAUUCCAUGAACAUGGUUCUAGUGUCUUCUGAUGUUUAUUAUUGCAGUUUUUUUUUAAACUUUAAACUUUAUUACGGUGUUUAAAUGCCAGACUGAAAGAAGCAAACUACAGUCGACCCUUGAACAGUGAGAUGAGGGGUGGGGUAUGUUAGGGUUGCUAACUCUCUGCCCAGUCAAAAAUUCACGUAUAAUUUAUAGUUGGUCUUCCAUAUUAGAGGUUCCUCCUUUCCACUGGUCCACUUUGCAGAAGUAUGAGGUCAGUCUUAUUUGGAUAUAUUUAUAAUUAUUUUUUAUUUAUUUGCUUUGAUUUAGUUUAAUUUUGUUUUGGCUGCAUCCUUAAAUAAUUCCCAUUGUCUCAGAAACACAAAAGUUUUGUCAGGAGAAACAUGGAUGCUUUUUUUUUUUUUUCUUAAUUUAGUUUAGAUCUUAAUGAAUUCAUUGUCCACUGGGUUUUUCUUUUUUCUUUUUUUUUCUUUUUUCUUAUUUAUGCAAAGUUUCUUUAGCUGUAACCCUUUGUUUCAUGUCUUGUCCAGUUCUUCUAGUUUCUUAUUCCACAAUAGCAAAGCAUCUUAGGUUCAAUCUCUAUUCUUAUUCCUUUAUCUGUACUAUUCUUUUUCAUUUUUUCCUCUAAAUUUUGUGUAAACUUCUGAAUGUUCUGAUGUUCUGAAUUAGAUUUAUUCUAGUGUUAAUUUUGCUAAUCAUUAAUUUCUGGUUAUCAUAUUUUCUUUUGCAAGUAAUAUUUUAUUAAAACACAGUCCUGGCUAUUUGUUAUGUAUUGUUUUUGGCUGCUUUCAGAUUACAAUGACAUAGUUGAAUAGUUACAACAGACUAUACACCCACAAAACCUGUAAAAUUUACUAUGUGACCCUUUAUAAAAAAGGUUUGUUGACCUGAACAUUUAAAUAAGUGUCUUAAUAUCACUGAAUAUCUAGCAAUAUUCAGUUUUCCUUGAUUGUGUUAUACUUUUUAAAUUGAGAUAUAAUUGACAUAUAAAAUAUUAGCUUCCAGUGUACAACAUAAUGAUUCGAUAUAUGUAUGGAUUGCAAAAUGAUCUCAAUAAGUCUAGUUAACAUCCAUCACCAAACAUAGUUAUAAUCCCAGUUACCUCUUCAUUAUGCUGUAGAAGUUUCAAUUUCCUUGAAACUAUCUACAUUUCACCAAGUUCAUUUUAAUUUCUUCUUUUUACUUUAGUGCUUUUUGCGUUUCAUUUUAAUAGUCUUUUAAUCUCAUUAUGCUUAUUACUUUCCAAUUCAUUUCAACAGAGACAUGGCUCUUUAUAUCCUUUAGAGAACACCAAUGGCUUUCUAAAUAUUUUCUAGUUUCUAGAGUAAAUCAUUUUCAGAAGUUUGCUGUUAUUUGGAGUCUGCAGGAUCAUGGUUACUUUCCUUGUUCUACAGUAUUUUUAAAAAUUAGGCCUCAUACGUUGGGGUUUUCUCUUUGAAGGCAAUGGCAACCCACUCCAGUGUUCUUGCCUGGAGAAUCCCAGGGAUGGGGGAGCCUGGUGGGCUGCCGUCCAUGGGGUCGCACAGAGUCGGACACGACUACAGCGACUUAGCAGCAGCCGCCGCAGCAGUGUCAAAUGAGAAACUGUUCACAUUCAAUACAACAUAGUAGAUGAAUUUAAUAGGCUUCUUUGGCCCUCCUCACUGCUUAUUCAGCCCCUCAGUCAAGGGGUGAGUGACAACUCCUACCAAUUGGUGCUCCUUAGACAUUUUCCUGGUGCCUCUCAGUUGGGACCACUUCAUAGGUGGGAUUGUCCCAUCACAACUGUUGGAUAUGAGACACUAUAUUGGUGUAGUGUGUCAUAAUGGGUUCACUUGCUGACCUGAAACAGACUGCCAGAUAUUUCUCCAGAAUAGACAGGUUUAUUCAGGAUCAAUAGAGAUUUGUAAUUUGUGGUCUCCAAUCAUGGAGUUGUGAUCUCUGCAUAGACACAGAAAAGCAAUAUGAGGUCAUGGCAUCAUGAGAAGCAAAGAAGGCUUAGGAAAGAGCUGAGAGGAACACCUACAUUUACAGAGGGAAGAGCCCUAAAAGGAGCCUUAGAAGAAAUUCUAAGUAAGGUAGAAGACAAGCUAGAAGAUUGUGGUCUUAGCAACAAAGUGAAGAUGAUGUUUCCAGGGAGAUGGCAUAAUCAGCAUCUCACAUGCUGUUGAGAAAGGCUUGUGUGCUAUCUACCUGCACUAUUGAAAAUAGAAAUUUGCCAUUUCAGAAAAAGGAAAAAAAAAAGCCAUCAAUACUAUCUUGGAAACAAGACACAGCUAGCUUCCUCAUAUGUACUUCUAACCUCAGCUGCUGCUCUCAGGGGCGCUGUGAAGAGUUUAGUGUCAUCUGGGAACUACAGCAAUUAGGGAGAAUGACAGUUAUGGCUGAAUGAUAAAUAAACGAGGAGAAAAUUG
This is a non-coding RNA of Odocoileus virginianus texanus, 3555 nucleotides long. The record is from RefSeq and is a predicted model, not a curated record. NCBI's taxonomy places the organism in Eukaryota, Metazoa, Chordata, Mammalia, Artiodactyla, Cervidae.